UAUUAAUAAUAAUUAUAAAAUUUAUAUUUAUUAAAAUUUUAAUAAAAUUUUUAUGUUAAAGUAUAAUUUUUUAAAAAAUUAAUUAAAUUAUAAUUUAAAGUAAUGUAAAUGAUAUAUUUAUAUAAAUAUUUAAAAGUAAAAGUUAAUUUUUUACCUUUUGUAUCAGGAUUAAUUAAUUUAAUUUAAUAAUAAUUAUUUAUCUCGAAAAUAAAAGAGCUAAAAAUAAAUUAUUUUUAUUAUAAUAUUAAUAUUAUAAAUUUAUUUUUAGAAAUUAAAUGUUAUACGAAUUUAUUAAUAUCUAGUUUUUUAUGAAUUAAAUUUAAUUUAUAUAUAAAUUAAUUUAUUUAUAUAAUAUUUAUAUAAAUAAAUAAUUUAUAUAAAAAAUUUAUGGGAUAAACUAUAAAUUUAAAUUUAUAAUUUAUAUAUACAUAUAUAUAUAUAUAAUAUAUUCAUAAAAUUUGAAAUUAUUUGAAAAUAUUUAAUAAUUUAAUAAUUUUGUAUAUAAAAAAUUUUAAAAUAAAUAUAAAUUUUAAAUAAAAAAAUUUUUUAAAUUAUAAAAAAAAUAAUAUAAUGAUUAAAUAAGUAAUUAUGAAUUAUAAUAUUUAUUUAUAUAUAUAUAUAUAUAUAUAAGGAAUUCGGCAAAUUAAAUAUAUUCACCUGUUUAACAAAAACAUGGCUUAUAGAUUUUAAUUUUAAGUCAAUCUGCCCAAUGAAUAAUUAAAUGGCUGCAGUAUAAUUGACUGUACAAAGGUAGCAUAAUCAAUUGUCUUUUAAUUAAAGGCUAGAAUGAAAGAAUUAAUGAAAUAUAUACUGUCUCAAAUAUAAUUAUUGAAAUUAAAUUUUAAGUAAAAAUUCUUAAAUAAAAUUAUGGGACGAUAAGACCCUAUAAAAUUUUAUAUUAUAUUUAUAUAUUAAAUUAUUUUUUGGUUUGUAUUUAAAUAAUAAUAUUUUAUUGGGGAGAUAAUUAAAUUUAUUAAACUUUAAUAUUAUUUAAUCUAUAAUUAUAGAAUAUUAAAAGAAUUAAUAUUAUUAAUUUUAAAAUAAAUUACUUUAGGGAUAACAGCGUAAUAUCUUUUUAUAGAUCAUAUUAAAAAAGAUGAUUGCGACCUCGAUGUUGAAUUAAGAUAAAAAUUAAAUGCAGAAAUUUAAAAAUUAAGUCUGUUCGACUUUUAAAAUCUUACAUGAUUUGAGUUCAGAUCGACGUAAGUCAGAUCGGUUUCUAUCUAUAAUUUAAUAAUUAUUUUUUGUACGAAAGGACUAAAAUAAUAAAAUAUUUUUAUUAUAAAUUUAAUUAAUAUAUAUAUAUAUAUACAUAUAAUUAUUUUAGCAAAUUAGUGCAUUAAAUUUAGAAUUUGAA
This 1357-nucleotide ribosomal RNA is filed under the name Nomada flava. RNAcentral describes it as "16S ribosomal RNA". Lineage: Eukaryota; Metazoa; Arthropoda; Insecta; Hymenoptera; Apidae. The record is from RNAcentral.